RNAcentral lists this ribosomal RNA (450 nucleotides) under uncultured bacterium. Its description in RNAcentral is "partial 16S ribosomal RNA". It matches the Rfam family "Bacterial small subunit ribosomal RNA", at positions 354 to 796 of the family's 1533-position model. The record is from RNAcentral.
GUGGGGAAUAUUGGACAAUGGGCGAAAGCCUGAUCCAGCCAUGCCGCGUGUGUGAAGAAGGUCUUCGGAUUGUAAAGCACUUUAAGUUGGGAGGAAGGGCAGUAAGUUAAUACCUUGCUGUUUUGACGUUACCGACAGAAUAAGCACCGGCUAACUUCGUGCCAGCAGCCGCGGUAAUACGAAGGGUGCAAGCGUUAAUCGGAAUUACUGGGCGUAAAGCGCGCGUAGGUGGUUUUGUAAGUUGGAGGUGAAAUCCCCGGGCUCAACCUGGGAACUGCCUCCAAAACUGCAUGACUAGUGUACGGUAGAGGGUAGUGGAAUUUCCUGUGUAGCGGUGAAAUGCGUAGAUAUAGGAAGGAACACCAGUGGCGAAGGCGACCACCUGGACUGAUACUGACACUGAGGUGCGAAAGCGUGGGGAGCAAACAGGAUUAGAUACCCCUGUAGUCC